AUUGAACGCUGGCGGAAUGCUUUACACAUGCAAGUCGAACGGCAGCACGGGGGCAACCCUGGUGGCGAGUGGCGAACGGGUGAGUAAUACAUCGGAACGUGCCCGGUCGUGGGGGAUAACGUAGCGAAAGUUACGCUAAUACCGCAUACGAUCUGAGGAUGAAAGCGGGGGACCUUCGGGCCUCGCGCGAUCGGAGCGGCCGAUGUCAGAUUAGGUAGUUGGUGGGGUAAAGGCCGACCAAGCCGACGAUCUGUAGCUGGUCUGAGAGGACGACCAGCCACACUGGGACUGAGACACGGCCCAGACUCCUACGGGAGGCAGCAGUGGGGAAUUUUGGACAAUGGGCGCAAGCCUGAUCCAGCCAUUCCGCGUGCAGGACGAAGGCCUUCGGGUUGUAAACUGCUUUUGUAUGGAACGAAAAGGCUCUGGCUAAUACCUGGGGCUCAUGACGGUACCGUAAGAAUAAGCACCGGCUAACUACGUG
Molecule: ribosomal RNA, 484 nt
Filed under: uncultured bacterium
Lineage: Bacteria
Description: partial 16S ribosomal RNA
Rfam family: Bacterial small subunit ribosomal RNA
Source: RNAcentral